Acanthosepion pharaonis is the source of this 110-nucleotide non-coding RNA. The record is from the annotation of a GenBank genome assembly. NCBI's taxonomy places the organism in Eukaryota, Metazoa, Mollusca, Cephalopoda, Sepiida, Sepiidae.
AGGCCAUAUCACGGUGAAACACCGGUUCUCAUAUGAUCACUUAAGUUAAGCAACGUCGAGCCUGAUCAGUACCUAGAUAUGUGACUGCUUUGGAACACCAGGUGCUGUAA